RNAcentral lists this ribosomal RNA (489 nucleotides) under uncultured bacterium. RNAcentral's name for it is "partial 16S ribosomal RNA". It matches the Rfam family "Bacterial small subunit ribosomal RNA", at positions 29 to 504 of the family's 1533-position model. The record is from RNAcentral.
AGUGAACGCUGGCGGUAGGCCUAACACAUGCAAGUCGAACGGCAGCACAGUAAGAGCUUGCUCUUACGGGUGGCGAGUGACGGACGGGUGAGGAAUACAUCGCAAUCUACUUUUUCUGGGGGGAUAACGUAGGGCAACUUACGCUACUACCUCAUACGUCCUACGGCUGGAAUCAGGGGUGAUACGCACUUUGCGUGACUGAUUUAGCCGAUGUCGGAUUGGCUAGUUGGCGUGGUAAGGGCCCACCUAGCCGACGCUCCGAAGCUGGGCUGAGAGGAUAAUCCGCCACACUGGAACUGAACCACGGUCAAGACUACGACGGGCGGCAGCAGUGAGGCAUAUUGGAUGAUGGGAGCAAGCCUGAUCCAACCACACCGCGUGGGUGAAGAAGGCCUUAGGGUUGUAAAGCCCUUUUGUUGGGAAAGAAAUGCAGCAGGUUAUUACCCCGCUGUUCUGACGGUACCCAAAGAAUAAGCACCGGCUAACUUC